This is an RNA transcript of Strongylocentrotus purpuratus (purple sea urchin), 2294 nucleotides long. RefSeq lists it as uncharacterized. Lineage: Eukaryota; Metazoa; Echinodermata; Echinoidea; Camarodonta; Strongylocentrotidae. The record is from RefSeq and is a predicted model, not a curated record. The transcript is spliced from 2 exons.
UUUUGUCUCGCUGUGAUAUAAUUGGAAAAUGAAUUAAUCAUAUUGUAUGUGUUCUCUUCUUUGCGAUUUCCAGACAUUAAUUAUGCAAAACACCUCGGUGGACCUGAUCCGGAUGGAUUUGAAACCUGUUUCAUUAGUCAGGAGAUUGGAAAAAGAUGUGUCCAAACUCCAAAGAAUUCAGAACUGAGAACUCUGCCCCCAUCUUGUAUCUACAUGUAUAUGGGUCUGUCCACGAAGUUGGGGUUUUUAAGGAAAUUCACCACCGUCGGUCAUAAAACCAAGUAUAACUCCUUGUUAAGCAAACACUUUGCAAUGAUGGAUGUUUUGUUUGAUACACAUAAUGAUAAUCUUCCUGUGUGUAAAUUUUCAAACAUACACGCUGCUCCUUUUAUGAAAAAAUGAACAUUAUAUGUUAGUGUCCAACCCCAUUUUCUAAUGAAAAUUUGUGACAUGAAAAUAAAAAUAUUUUGACUGCUUAUUUCAAAGUAAUUACAAAUUCCUUACCUCCGGUAACAAUCAGCAAAUACAUAUUCUAACUUCAUCUAUAUAAUCAAAGUCGAGAAAGAUUGGAUUCGCCAAACAUUUUUUAAUAGCAGACUUCCCAAAGUCAUCGAUACCGCCACUACGGCGGUGUCCACUAAGAAUUUAUACGUCGUGGCGGUACUUUGAGCCAAUGUUCCUUAUAUGGGAUAGUUGAAAUUGUAAAUCUUAUUGUCCAUAAUGAGGUAUUUUUCUUGCCAGUAAUAUUUGAUAAAUGAAAUCAGGAUACUAUCAAGCAUUUUUAAGUAUCAUCAUUCAGAAAUACGAGUCACCGACGUGGUGUCCAUGCGGUAAAAAGAAGGAUCGGUAAAUUGAAACCAGUGUCAUUAAAAAUAUCCCCCCUCAUCAGAAUCGAUCAGUCCGGCAAAAUCUCGAUGAGUCAUGGUGGUUGAUAUAAAUAGCUCAUUCGGCUCCGUUUCCUUGGUGCGAAGCUGAAAUUUUCACUUUGACAAUAUGGCGUCCUUCUGCGAGUCACCGCUAGAGUCGGAAAGGUUUGAAGCAUCGGUGAGCAAAAUCGAUGACUUUGGGAAGCCACUCUAAAACUGCUGUAAACGGUAAGGUUUAUUUUUUUGUUUGAUGUACUCCACUCUAUCGACUGUUGUAAAAAUUCUUGUAUUUUUUAUGAAGUAGCUCGACUUUUCAUCCUUUCUUACUGUCCGUACCCUCGUUUGGACACCACGCAAGAGUGGUGUCUGCUGGUUGAAAUCGGCGGUAUUUGUUAGUUUUCCGUAAUGUGAGCAGUAAAUGCAUGAAAAUCGAAGAGUUUCACAAUCCAUCCUUGUAUUAAACCUAUAAAACAAAGGAUUACUACGGUAAAAGAGACUUUAAAGUAUUUAGGAAAAGAUACUGGCAUUUUUUAGCCCCGAUGCUACUCUUCGGUGAGGAACACUUGUGUCCGAUGUAGUAACGGUAUAGUAAAUAAAUUUGGGCCUUCUUCGGAACAAAACCGUCUUAAAAUUCCUCAAACAAUUCUUCCAGCAAUUAUUCCAACGGUAAAAUUCCGUCCAUUGAUAGUUUCUCCUCAUAUUCAGAUGCCUCCAUAUUCCUUUUUUAGAGAUGUUUCUCCAGAAUAUUCGCCCAAAAUCUCAAAUAUUUUAACAAUAGUCCCACAUAUAGCGAUACGUGUUAUGUUUCACUUGACAACCCGUAAAACCAGCGGAAUCGGACCCAAAAAGCAGCUCAAAAAGCAUGUUUCAUUUUUCGAACUUAAUAAUAUUAUACUAUAAUAAUCUUUCAUGGUGUAUUGUUGUUGUUUAGACGUCUUAGUCAUAGUUUGGAUUUUAGAUUUUAUUUUUUUCUUUUUCUUUCUUUGUAAUGAUUCAUUUAAUUGUAUUCAUUUACCCUUUUCUCGUAAAAGUCUGCAUUGCAUGUAGUGUCCAUUCGGUGAACAUUAUAGCCAAGAAAAAUAGCAUACUAGAUAAAACUCCUUUUAUUUUGAAUUUUUAUUUUGAUUACAGAAACCAACAAACAUGCCUUCUAAAGCUAAAUCAACAUCUAAGCCAAGGCCACCCUUUCAUCUGAAAUUGAGGGCAUUUUGUCCAGCAGAGGGUAGUGAAGACCGUAAUGAAAACGGUAAUGAAAACGGUGAUGAAAACAACCAUGAACACAGCAAGAAAACUCAUUGGCGUACACAUUUAAGAGUCCAAAAUCCAAUGAAGUAUCAAGCUUACCUGAAGUAUGAAGCUCUUGUGAAAAGAAAGAACCGGGCAGAAAAACGUGAAUACCUUGAUCAACCUGGAAAUGAGGUAGAGAAG